GUGCAACAGAGAGCAAACCGCCGAUGGCCCGCGUAAGCGGGAUCAGGUAAGGGUGAAAGGGUGCGGUAAGAGCGCACCGCGCGGCUGGUAACAGUCCGUGGCACGGUAAACUCCACCCGGAGCAAGGCCAAAUAGGGGUUCAUAAGGUACGGCCCGUACUGAACCCGGGUAGGCUGCUUGAGCCAGUGAGCGAUUGCUGGCCUAGAUGAAUGACUGUCCACGACAGAACCCGGCUUAUCGGUCAGUUUCACCU
This 253-nucleotide RNase P RNA is filed under the name Escherichia coli. RNAcentral describes it as "partial RNase P RNA component class A". It matches the Rfam family "Bacterial RNase P class A", at positions 109 to 367 of the family's 367-position model. Rfam says of the family: Ribonuclease P (RNase P) is a ubiquitous endoribonuclease, found in archaea, bacteria and eukarya as well as chloroplasts and mitochondria. Its best characterised activity is the generation of mature 5'-ends of tRNAs by cleaving the 5'-leader elements of precursor-tRNAs. Lineage: Bacteria; Pseudomonadati; Pseudomonadota; Gammaproteobacteria; Enterobacterales; Enterobacteriaceae. The record is from RNAcentral.